CCUCGUAGCUCAGUUGGUUAGAGCGUUAGCUGUACUAAAGCCUUCCCCUUGCUGGCGUGGGUUCAAAUCCCACCGAGG
Molecule: non-coding RNA, 78 nt
Organism: Schistocephalus solidus
Lineage: Eukaryota; Metazoa; Platyhelminthes; Cestoda; Diphyllobothriidea; Diphyllobothriidae
Source: Rfam